Molecule: long non-coding RNA, 214 nt
Organism: Cebus imitator (Panamanian white-faced capuchin)
Lineage: Eukaryota; Metazoa; Chordata; Mammalia; Primates; Cebidae
Exons: 4
Source: RefSeq, a predicted model, not a curated record
CCACCUCAGACUCCAACAUAGCUGGGACUACAGGUACUGCAUGGAGGGUCUCGAGAGAGGCAUGGCAGUGGAGCGUAAGAACCAAUGAGGCGCAGUUUCCACCGUGAGCCUGGUCCAACUUUCUGGAAUACCAAAAUAAGAAAAGCAGACGAGUUCAAAGAAAUGUAUUCCGUUGAUAUGACAGAUGGAGUUUCGCUCUUGUCACCCGUGCUGG